This 257-nucleotide ribosomal RNA is filed under the name uncultured bacterium. RNAcentral's name for it is "partial 16S ribosomal RNA". It matches the Rfam family "Bacterial small subunit ribosomal RNA", at positions 524 to 777 of the family's 1533-position model. The record is from RNAcentral.
UACGAAGGGGGGCUAGCGUUGUUCGGAAUUACUGGGCGUAAAGCGCACGUAGGCGGAUCUUUAAGUCAGGGGUGAAAUCCCGAGGCUCAACCUCGGAACUGCCUUUGAUACUGGGGAUAUCGAGUCCGGGGAGAGGUGAGUGGAACUGCGAGUGUAGAGGUGAAAUUCGUAGAUAUUCGCAAGAACACCAGUGGCGAAGGCGGCUCACUGGCCCGGUACUGACGCUGACGGUGCGAAAGCGUGGGGAGCAAACAGGG